RNAcentral lists this small RNA (43 nucleotides) under Yarrowia lipolytica. Its description in RNAcentral is "YALI1_A08573p". The record is from RNAcentral. Lineage: Eukaryota; Fungi; Ascomycota; Dipodascomycetes; Dipodascales.
AGUUCUCUGAACUGACAGUGGAGGAAACAUUGUGGGUUUAAGU